CAGCAGAGCAGAAAAUGGGCAAAAUAUUCCCUCAACGCCCAUGAAUCUGUCAUUAAAGGAGUUGUGCGUCUCCUAGGGAAAGGAUUACAUGUUCCCCAACAUUGCAGAUCGUAUCCCUUUGCCGAGAAUUUCGGCUGCCACAAGAGAAGACUUUGUGAGAUGAUGUUCAAAAGGUACCAUGCUCUGCCGUGGCAUCGCUUCUGAUGGACUUCAACCAACGUGAGUUGGACAACAGCUAUCCAGUUCUGAAUCAAAGUGAAAAAGAUGUCCUUUAAAGCAGAUCACAAAACAUUUUAUUUAUAUUGGUCCUCGCAUCCCUGGUGACCAAAG
Non-coding RNA from Pantherophis guttatus, 330 nucleotides. The record is from RefSeq and is a predicted model, not a curated record. Lineage: Eukaryota; Metazoa; Chordata; Lepidosauria; Squamata; Colubridae.